AAUCGUCUGUACAGAUCCCUUUCCGAAAGAUUGCGUGCCAAGAACGACUGCGCGACGAUGGUCUUGUAGAGCGCCGGCAACAAUCUCAGAGGCGGACGCAGAACCACCAUUUAUGAGAACGACGAUUGGCAGCUUUUCAGCCAGGUCGCCUUUCUUUGCGUUGAACCGUUGAGCGUCGUCGGUUCGCCGGGAACGGGUUGAUACAAUUUCUCCACGAUCCAGAAACGCGUCCGAGACUUUGACCGCUUGAUCCAGAAGACCGCCUGGGUUGUUUCG
Molecule: non-coding RNA, 276 nt
Filed under: marine eukaryotic metagenome
Source: RNAcentral